GUGCUCACUUUGGUAGCACAUAUACAAAAAUUGGAACAAUGCAAAGAUUAACACAGCCUCUGUGCAAGGAUGACACAAAAAUUUGUAAAGCAUUCCAUAUUUGG
This is a small nuclear RNA of Cricetulus griseus (Chinese hamster), 104 nucleotides long. The record is from Ensembl. Lineage: Eukaryota; Metazoa; Chordata; Mammalia; Rodentia; Cricetidae.